ACGACAAUAUUGAAGUGUGUGUGUGUGUAGUAGUAAUAGUAGUAACAACAAGAAUAUAAACAAUUAAAGCACUGUAUGCACAUAAAGUUGCAAAAAUGGAAGAUGUGGCAAUAAAUCGAAGAGUAUAUGACAGCAAAUGGUUAAACAAACUAAAGGGUAAAAACGAAGUCGUUUAAUGCACGUGAAGCUUUCAAGCAGGGCGAAGAAAAACAUGAGCUUUAAUUUUAGGCAAAACAAAGCGAAGAGCGAGAGAAAGUUAACUGCCCGAAUUCCACACUCAGUGGCCUAAUGACCGCAUUUUCCAUGUAAACACCAUCGAAGCCGAUGAGAUCACAGAAGCAGCUGGAAAAUGGGGAAAUGCAGGCAACAGGUGAUGCAGAUGCAAUCGAGAGAUUGCGAGAGUGGGAAAAAGCGUGCAGGAGGAAAUGAGGUAUCAGAUGAGGCAACGUAAGUGCUAUUAGACAGCAAUCGCCACUAAUCACAUAACCAUUAAGACAAUAACAACAACACGGAGAAUGAAAGAAAAAAGCGUGAAGCAUCUGAAAAAGCUUGAGACUAACAGCAAAUUCAACAGCAGGCAUUUUCUUCAAACGAGCUUUACACAUGCAACAGCACUCAGUAUCAAUUUGCCGCAACUAUUUAUGUUGUUUGUUACUGUUUCUGCCUCAUGUUAGACAACUUGCAACAUCAUUAUCGCGCCUGCGGCAAGUGCUCGUUGCAUGGCACUGGCAAAUUUACUUACUGGGAAUUGGCAACUGGGCGUAUUGGGAGCAACUGCAACAGCAUUUAUGCAUUUUCUUGUGAAAAUAAUUUGUUUGUAAAUUCGUAGAACACAAAACAAAAAAAAAA
This is a long non-coding RNA of Bactrocera tryoni, 849 nucleotides long. RefSeq lists it as uncharacterized. The record is from RefSeq and is a predicted model, not a curated record. The transcript is spliced from 3 exons. Lineage: Eukaryota; Metazoa; Arthropoda; Insecta; Diptera; Tephritidae.